This 345-nucleotide unclassified non-coding RNA is filed under the name soil metagenome. RNAcentral describes it as "partial contains 5.8S ribosomal RNA, internal transcribed spacer 2, and large subunit ribosomal RNA". The stretch from base 1 to 120 matches the Rfam family "5.8S ribosomal RNA", at positions 35 to 154 of the family's 154-position model. The record is from RNAcentral.
GAUGAAGAACGUAGUGAAAUGCGAUACGUAAUGUGAAUUGCAGAAUUCAGUGAAUCAUCGAGUCUUUGAACGCACAUUGCGCCCCCUGGUAUUCCGGGGGGCAUGCCUGUCCGAGCGUCAUUGCUGCCCUCAAGCACGGCUUGUGUGUUGGGCCUCCGUCCUCCUCCCGGGGGACGGGCCCGAAAAGCAGCGGCGGCACCGCGUCCGGUCCUCGAGCGUAUGGGGCUUCGUCACCCGCUCUUGUAGGCCCGGCCGGCGCUUGCCGACACAUCAAUCUUUUUUCCAGGUUGACCUCGGAUCAGGUAGGGAUACCCGCUGAACUUAAGCAUAUCAAUAAGCGGAGGA